RNAcentral lists this ribosomal RNA (467 nucleotides) under uncultured bacterium. Its description in RNAcentral is "partial 16S ribosomal RNA". It matches the Rfam family "Bacterial small subunit ribosomal RNA", at positions 29 to 507 of the family's 1533-position model. The record is from RNAcentral.
ACGAACGCUGGCGGCGUGCUUAACACAUGCAAGUCGAACGGAAAGGCCCUGCUUUUGUGGGGUGCUCGAGUGGCGAACGGGUGAGUAACACGUGAGUAACCUGCCCUUGACUUUGGGAUAACUUCAGGAAACUGGGGCUAAUACCGGAUAGGAGCUCCUGCUGCAUGGUGGGGGUUGGAAAGUUUCGGCGGUUGGGGAUGGACUCGCGGCUUAUCAGCUUGUUGGUGGGGUAGUGGCUUACCAAGGCUUUGACGGGUAGCGGGCCUGAGAGGGGGGCCGGCCACAUUGGGACUGAGCUGCGGCCCAGACUCCUACGGGAGGCAGCAGUGGGGAAUAUUGCACAAUGGGCGGAAGCCUAAUGCAGCAACGCCGCGUGCGGGAUGACGGCCUUCGGGUUGUAAUCCGCUUUCGCCUGUGACGAAGCGUGAGUGACGGUAAUGGGUAAAGAAGCACCGGCUAACUACGUG